GAAAUAUAUAAGCCAAAGUUAUGAAAUUUAUACUUUUUAGUGAUAUUCUCUCUAAAAUGUAUCUUAUUUGAUUUGAAGUUAAUUUUUAUUUGUAAUAAAUAAUAUAAUAAUUUUUUUAAUGGUGGUUUAGAUAAGAUUAUGCGAUUACAAUUUUAAAAAAGAGUGUAUAUUUUAAGAAAAAAAUUAAUAUAUUUAAGAGAGAGAUUGAAAGAGAAUGAAAUACAAGGAAUAUUGAUAUCUAUUAUUAUAGAGAAAUUAUGUGUAUAAAAAAGAGUUGUCACUAGAGUAAGAAAAUAGAAAGAAAAAAAUAAUGAAAUAAAUUAUAGAAAUUAAUGUUUCAAAUAAAAAAAAUGUAACUAAUAUUCUCAUGAGGAAGAAUAAAAUAAAAGACAUAACACUUCUUCAAUUAGUUUACUUCUAUACGAGAGAGAGGAAAAUAAAAGAUCAGAAUACAUCACAAUUAAGAGAGAGAAAAAGAGAGAGAAAUAGAGAGAGUUAUGAAUUUUAUGAGUGUUUUUCAAUCUUGUUAGAUAUUUUCAAAGGUCUUCAAAUUCAUAGAACAAUGAAUCCUAGAAUUCUCUUAGUCUCUCUAAAUUUCUCUUAUAACAAAAAAUAAUAAUUAAAUAGUCACCUGAAAACCAUUUCAUAAACUAAAAUAUCACACUAAUUAACACGCAAUUUAGUGAUGUGAUAAAUUACGUCGUCAUAAAAAUGCAAGUUACAACUUAUAUGUAAAAUGAAAAACAUUAAAAUCAAAUCACAACUUAUUAGAAUUAUCAACACUUUCAUUUCUAUCACCUUUUUAUUUUUCCACCACAAAUCCACCAGACCUUAUUAUUCCACCACCACUUAUCCCUAUAGAUAGCGAUACCACAAAAUCCAUUUUCAUUUUCAUAUUUAUUACUUGGAAUUUUACUUCCCCCUCCCAUGGUUUCAAAACUUCCACAAGAAUCACCAUUUUCACCAGGCCAAACCCAACAUCAAAGAUUAUACAACAACCAUCGAUUCUCGCUACUCUAACAUCAGAUGUUAUUCUUUCUUUUCUAGAAAUUCCACAAGAACCACAUAUUUCACCGUGUCAAAUCCAGUGCUAAAAAUUCCAAAGGAAUCGCCGAUUUCUGCCAUGCCAACACCAAACGUUGAUGUGACUUUUCUUUUGGAGAAAAGGGAAGCAAAAAAAAGAAGAGGUUAAUGUUUUGUGAAAAUGAAGAGGAGAAAAGGGGAGAAAGAGGAGAGAAAGGAAGUAAAAAGAAGAAGUUAAUAUUUUGUUAAGAGCUAAAAAAACAUUGAUUAGUCACGUGAUUUUUACAUCACAAACGAAUUUUCGAAAAUUUUAAAAUUCCCUGCAAGUACAAAGACAUCAUAACAUGUGUAAAUUUGAUUAACCACGUGAUUUUCACCAUAAUAUUCCUUUUUUGUGACAUAAUUUUUACGUGGCAAAAAUACAUCACUGGAAACAUUUUUUUUAUAGUGUAUUUUACGAUGUGAAUGUCACAUUGCAACGUUCUUUUUUAGCGAUGUAUUUUUUACGUGACAAUAUCACAUUGAUGUUGACCAUUUUUUUUUAGUGUAUUAGAACUCCACCACCUCUUCCUUCAAAAGUAAUAGAGAAUCAAGUAUGUAAUGGCUAGAAACCCUAUAAAGCUAGUCAAUAUGCAAACCUUACCUGCACUACGACUCGAUGAACCGUCGCUAUUGAUCCAAUUGACUGCUAUCUCUACGACAAUGCUGAUUGUUACUGUUAAAAAACAAAAACCAAAACUCUUUUGUGAUUUUGAGACAUAUUUUAACAAUAAUAAAUUUAAAUUAUUAAUAAGUUAACAUAUUUAUAAAUUAAUUCUAAGAAAUCUAGUAUAUUAAUAAUGGUAAUACAAAAAUAUUAUUAAUAUUCAUUUAAAUAGUUCGGCUUUGAUAGAUAUGAAAUUUUGUUUUACAAAUUGUGGUUUGAUAUUUUUAAUUAAAUAUAUAUUGUUAAUAUAAUAAAAAAGUAGAUAUGACCUAGGUCUAAAUUGUAAAUUUUUGUAGUGUAUUCUCACUUCUAGAUAUUAGUAAAGCUCCGCUUGUAAAAUAUGCAAAAGUGUCAAAAAGUCAUCACUAAAAAUCAUUUCCUAUAAAAGAAUUAAAGUGUGUUUGUUACGUGUGGUUGAUGAAAAUUAACUUUGUAAUUAAGUUCAUGAUAUCGUCACUUAAUUAUUAAUCUAAGUUACUUGCACACUUCCAUUUGCUCGAAUGAAAGAAAAACAAAUCAAGAUAUAUCGUCAUUAAACAUCCACUUUAGUUGGCUAUGCUAUUAACAUCAUGCAUGAUGAAUGUAAAGGGUUAAUUACUUUUGAAUUUUGAGUAACCAGUUUUAAUUAAAGGUUUAAUGACGAAUUAUAAGGAGUGGUGGAUUUGUAAUAAAUUAAUAAUGGUGUGAGUAACACUUAUGCAUGUCUAUUUUUGUCCAUAUAAGAAACUCCAACGUAGUGAAGUGAACAAGUCGGAAACCUACACGUCAAUAACUCCAAAAGGCUGUGUUUUGGACUUUUGCUAUGUACCCUACAAGUUUACCUUUAAUUUAUAAUAACAGUUUUUUAAUCUAAUUUAGCUUUUCGUUCUUUGGAAACAACACAGGAACAAAAGGAAGUUAAUGUCCUAUAGUAAUCUAGUUUGUUUGUUCUGAAAAAUUAACCAUGGUACAUUGGUACAUGCAUUUACAUGCAUGUAACAACGUUUUCAGUGUCUUGGAAUUUUGUGGAAUUCAAAAGCUUGCCACGGAUAUUUUGUGUCCGUGUGUGGUGCCUGUGGACAAGAUGGGUAAUUGCUAGAUGAACAUGGUGAGUGAAUUGUGGUCUUAACUUUUAGGUUUGGAGAAGAUUUGGUGGAGAGUAAACCACUCAAAAUGAUUUUCUAUUAGGUAAAAUAUAUCUCAAAUUUAUUUUUGUACGAAAAAUAUUCGUUAAUUAACGUGUGUUUUAAGUGUAUUAUUGGCAGAUUUGGUAACAUAAAAUAAUAAACCACAAAUUGGUUGCUUGCAGAUUUUGUGAAAUGGUUUUAAAUAGUGAUUAAGAUUAAAAAAUAUUUAAAAAGUUAUGAACUUGUAUUACAUGUUAAUCAUUUUAUACUAUUGCAUGAGUAUACGUCAUUUCAACCAUUGAUGUAGUUUAUUUAUUUAUUUUUAUAAACAAAGAAUUGAAUCAAAGCGAGUAUAAGAGGUACUCAAUCCUAAAACAAAGGAAAAGAAACGAUUGAAUCACAAAUAGGAAGUACAAACACAAGCUAACGGAUUUGAAAACCAAGUGUGAAUAGGUGAGAGUGUGAGUGUGAAUAGGGUUAACAGGAGAAACUGGUGAGAGUGUGAAUAAAGAUGAUAGGAGAAACAGUGUCGUCAAAUAUUGGUAUGACAGAUCAUUCGAUCUUGAUGGUUAGGCCAAACGGAAGGUAGGAACGAAAGAGAAUCAUAGAAGGUCUCAGAGGUCUGAAGAAUCAAGAGGAGUUUGAUCAAAGAAGAAACCAGACAAAAAUGCAUGAGCAAGAGAAAAAGAUAAGAUUAUGGACAUCUCCUGCCCAUACGCGUAUGAGGAGUCUCAUACGCGUUUGGCCACUCAACCACACCUCCCAGGAUAUGCGUAUCACUAGAAAGGGGGAAAAGUCAUGCCUUUGCCCAUACGCGUAUGAGGCCAGCCAGUCAGCACCCCUCAUGCGCAGCCAGAGCCUUACGUGUAUGGAUCCAGCUGGGCCAUACGCCAUACCAUGGGCCAUACGCGUAUGAAGUAGUACAAAAAGGAGUCAUACACGUAUGGCACGACCCAGAUCUAAGAAAGCCCAAAUUUUAUCUAUUUAGCGAAAAAUGCGAAUUUCCAAGGGUUUGAUGAUUUUUGAGUGUGUUUUGAAGGCUAGAGCAUUGAAAAAUUCGUGGUGGAUUAAGGAUUUCGUGAACUUUAGUGAUUUAAGACAUCUUUUCUUCCAUUAAUUUGUAAUGUCUACACUUUCUGUUUUGUUUUUCUUUACUAUUAUGUGUAGCUAAACCCCCUAAUGCUAUGGUGUGUCCCUGAUUCAGAUUUAUGAUAAAUUCUGAUUUGAACCUUGUAAUGACUUUGAUUUGAUGAUAUUUAAUUUACUUGUAAUUUGUUAUUUA
Lathyrus oleraceus (garden pea) is the source of this 4117-nucleotide long non-coding RNA. RefSeq lists it as uncharacterized. NCBI's taxonomy places the organism in Eukaryota, Viridiplantae, Streptophyta, Magnoliopsida, Fabales, Fabaceae. The transcript has 2 exons. The record is from RefSeq and is a predicted model, not a curated record.